ACGUCUGCCUGGGUGUCACA
This 20-nucleotide non-coding RNA is filed under the name Arabidopsis thaliana (thale cress). The record is from RNAcentral. Lineage: Eukaryota; Viridiplantae; Streptophyta; Magnoliopsida; Brassicales; Brassicaceae.